AUUGAACGCUGGCGGCAUGCCUUACACAUGCAAGUCGAACGGCAGCACGGGUGCUUGCACCUGGUGGCGAGUGGCGAACGGGUGAGUAAUACAUCGGAACAUGUCCUGUAGUGGGGGAUAGCCCGGCGAAAGCCGGAUUAAUACCGCAUACGAUCUACGGAUGAAAGCGGGGGACCUUCGGGCCUCGCGCUUUAGGGUUGGCCGAUGGCUGAUUAGCUAGUUGGUGGGGUAAAGGCCUACCAAGGCGACGAUCAGUAGCUGGUCUGAGAGGACGACCAGCCACACUGGAACUGAGACACGGCCCAGACUCCUACGGGAGGCAGCAGUGGGGAAUUUUGGACAAUGGGCGAAAGCCUGAUCCAGCAAUGCCGCGUGUGUGAAGAAGGCCUUCGGGUUGUAAAGCACUUUUGUCCGGAAAGAAAUCCUUGGCCCUAAUACGGUCGGGGGAUGACGGUACCGGAAGAAUAAGCACCGGCUAACUACGUG
RNAcentral lists this ribosomal RNA (486 nucleotides) under uncultured bacterium. RNAcentral's name for it is "partial 16S ribosomal RNA". It matches the Rfam family "Bacterial small subunit ribosomal RNA", at positions 30 to 507 of the family's 1533-position model. The record is from RNAcentral.